Molecule: ribosomal RNA, 292 nt
Filed under: uncultured bacterium
Lineage: Bacteria
Description: partial 16S ribosomal RNA
Rfam family: Bacterial small subunit ribosomal RNA
Source: RNAcentral
GUGCCAGCCGCCGCGGUAAUACGAAGGUGGCAAGCGUUGUUCGGAUUUACUGGGCGUACAGGGAGCGUAGGCGGUUCGGUAAGCCCUCCGUGAAAUCUCCAGGCUUAACCUGGAAAGUGCAGAGGGGACUGCUGGGCUAGAGGAUGGGAGAGGAGCGCGGAAUUCCCGGUGUAGCGGUGAAAUGCGUAGAGAUCGGGAGGAAGGCCGGUGGCGAAGGCGGCGCUCUGGAACAUUUCUGACGCUGAGGCUCGAAAGCGUGGGGAGCAAACAGGAUUAGAUACCCUCGUAGUCC